UUGUUCAUAAUGAAUAUCUUGAAUUUAAAUAUGUUUUUUUUGGGAAAAUUCUCAUUCUUUUGAAAAUAAAGCAUGGAUUUAAGAAACAAUUUUUCAUCUAAAAAUUAUCUAUUACACUACAUUCAAAUGACCCAACUCCGUGAAAUUACAAAAAAUGAAGAUUUUGGUAUAGUUGACUUCUUAGUCAAAUGUUGACUUUUAGUCAAAUAUUGACUUUUAAUCAACUGUUGACUUUUAAUCAACUGUUGUCCUUUAGCCAACUGUUGACUUUUAGUCAACUACAUGAUCCUAAAACCCUAAUGAAGCUCUUUUGCUUUCAUAUUCCACCAUGCCUUGAACAUCUUUUCAUGCCAUGUGUGCCAUAACCUCUCCAUGUGCCAUAACUUCCUUCAUGUGCUAGCAAGCCAUCACUCUUGAAUGUCUUGAUAGCACCACUUUAAUGCCUUUAAUUCAUGACCAAAGGCUAAGCAAGAUCAUCAUUACAACAACCUGUAUUCAAUGUUCAAACAUCAUCCAAUCAAGGUCUUUUUUCAUGAAGGGCACAAACAAACUUCAAUAUGGCAUCAUGUAUACAAGUUACCAAUGCAUAAGUACUACAUCCAAGUUUUGUCAACAUUCUAUCAUCAACAAUAAGCAAGUAUCAUAACACACAUUAAUCAAAUCAGUGGCACAUUUUCAUGAAUAACCUGACAAUGAAACAAAGCAUAACAUUCCCACAUUCUUUCAAUUCAAACCAAUAUUCCAAUUCAUUCCCAAUGCAAAAAUAAGGAUAUAGCAGUGCAUUUCAAAAAGGGGGAGGAGUGGUUUUCUGUUGCAACCAUUUAAUUGUCCAUUUCAAAUCUCAACUUAUAACUAAUUUAUAACCAACUGAUUUCAUGACUGGACUAAUUUUAGAUGAAUUUAACAGUUUAACAAUAAUUUCCAUUUGAGACAACUAGCUUAAAUAAUCUCUAACAGAUUCUAUAACUAACAAAUUGCCAUAACUCACCAUUAAUUAUUAGCAGACCAACAUUAACACCAUCGAUUUCUAGCUAAUGGACUACAUAACAAGCCAUUGAUAUAAAUCCUUAAUAGAACAACCAGCAGACCAACAAAUUUCAGAAUAUGUCAUUAGCACGUGAUUUAACAGAAGCCAAUAAUAUCAUUUAACAAAAGACUUCAGUUUCCGACUAACUGAAAAAUAUCAUGUGAGUUUAAUUCUUUUUGAUAACUAACAUAUCCUAACAUAACUAAUAACUUUUAAUUGUCAUUUACCAACUAACUCUAACUAGCAUUAACCGAACCAAUAACCUGAACCAACAUUAAGUUAAUGGAACUUAAAACUAGAGUAUAACUAACCUUGCAAAAUCACAUGCCAGAAGGAGGUCUGAACACUUAGCUUCUAAUCAUAAUUCGGACCUCGCCAAACAGAACAAAUUUUGCAUCCCACCACCUACACGAUUAUGUUUAACAGAGGCUUAAAAUAUAUUGAAAACAGACUAACAUAAAUGAUCUAGAACUAACUUCAUUAUUUCAAAACUAACAUUUUAACAACAUCAUAACAGAAUUUCACAUCAUUAGUUAACUUCUAAUAGAUUUUCAUCGCAACCUAACAGAAAGUUAACCGUGCCCUAACUUGUAACUAAUCCUGCCCGAAAUCUUGCCCUAAUCUGUCACAUUUCCAGCUCUAUAUAAUCCAAUCAUUAUCCCUAAUUAACGGUUAAUCACAAUUCAAUCACUUCUUGACCAUAUUCACUCGUUUAUCUUCUCCAUUCUCUCUAACGGAAACCCUACUCAGAGCUCUAUUGAGAAUCCAUUGGAGCUUCACAUUGAAGCUCCAAAUGUGGUUGAGCCAAACCUCCUCUCUCUGCACUCGCUGGGACAACACGCGACCGAAUCGCUCCAGAAACGAAAGUGCACCAAAGAAGAAGAAGAACACAACACGCGCGCAAGAAGCAACAGUAAGAAGAAAAGAGCGUAUUACUUGAUUAGAAGCAUUCCUUGUUCGUCUUCUUCGAUCCAUCGCAUCAUCGGAGUGAAGCUCCGAUUCGGAGGUAAGCUCGUCUUCCCUUUUCGUUGGGAAAAUCAUUGCCAUAUCGUAGAUUUUGUCCUGAGAAGCGUUAUCCCUAAACCUUGGGACCAAAUUCUUGAGUUAUCACGGUUUAAUUUCAAAUCUGAAAGGUUAGGGUUCAGGUUUUGUGAGUUUCGAUUUGUCCGUUUGAUGAGGAUUUGGAGGAAAUAAGCUUGAGAUUAUAGUAGAGAGAGGUGUGGCGAUCAGAUUGAUGUAGAUUUUGUGGUUAUUGGUCCUCCUCCGUCGCCUGAUGCGAAUGCUUGCGCCAUAGAGAUAUUGGAUUUCGGCCAAGUGGGUUCGAGUGAUGUCACUUUGUGAAUGUUAAUGAUAAUCAAGCUUGAACCCUUCUUGAGUUUGGCCUGGGAUUGAACAAAGGCU
This 2428-nucleotide long non-coding RNA is filed under the name Lathyrus oleraceus (garden pea). RNAcentral's name for it is "Pisum sativum (pea) long non-coding RNA (PSAT_LNC030792)". The record is from RNAcentral. Lineage: Eukaryota; Viridiplantae; Streptophyta; Magnoliopsida; Fabales; Fabaceae.